This 528-nucleotide ribosomal RNA is filed under the name Velenovskya vacini. Its description in RNAcentral is "eukaryotic LSU rRNA". It matches the Rfam family "Eukaryotic large subunit ribosomal RNA", at positions 74 to 602 of the family's 3401-position model. Lineage: Eukaryota; Fungi; Ascomycota; Pezizomycetes; Pezizales; Pezizaceae. The record is from RNAcentral.
AUUGCCUUAGUAACGGCGAGUGAAGCGGCAAAAGCUCAGAUUUGAAAUCUGGUGUCAUUUUGGCACCCGAGUUGUAGUCUGUAGAGGAGUAUUCGAGUGUAGCUUUGGCUUAAGUUCCUUGGAACAGGGCGUCAUAGAGGGUGAGAACCCCGUUAACGGCCUUUGUCUUAUGCUCAUGUGAAUCUCCUUCAAUGAGUCGAGUUGUUUGGGAAUGCAGCUCUAAAUGGGUGGUAAAUUCCAUCUAAAGCUAAAUACUGGCAAGAGACCGAUAGCGCACAAGUAGAGUGAUCGAAAGAUGAAAAGAACUCUGAACAGAGAGUUAAAUAGUACGUGAAAUUGUUGAAAGGGAAGCACUUGCGACCAGACGCACUUGCAGCUGAUCAAUCUCCAUUCUUGGAGGUGCACUCGGUUGUCUGUGGGUCAGCAUCAGUUAUGGUGGUGGGAAAAAGACCAAGGGAAUGUGGCUCUCUUCGGGGAGUGUUAUAGCCCUUGGUGUAAUGCUGCCUGCUGUGACUGAGGACCGCGCUU